GACGAACGCUGGCGGCGUGCUUAACACAUGCAAGUCGAACGGAAAGGCCCUGCUUUUGUGGGGUGCUCGAGUGGCGAACGGGUGAGUAACACGUGAGUAACCUGCCCUUGACUUUGGGAUAACUUCAGGAAACUGGGGCUAAUACCGGAUAGGAGCUCCUGCUGCAUGGUGGGGGUUGGAAAGUUUCGGCGGUUGGGGAUGGACUCGCGGCUUAUCAGCUUGUUGGUGGGGUAGUGGCUUACCAAGGCUUUGACGGGUAGCCGGCCUGAGAGGGUGACCGGCCACAUUGGGACUGAGAUACGGCCCAGACUCCUACGGGAGGCAGCAGUGGGGAAUAUUGCACAAUGGGCGGAAGCCUGAUGCAGCAACGCCGCGUGCGGGAUGACGGCCUUCGGGUUGUAAACCGCUUUCGCCUGUGACGAAGCGUGAGUGACGGUAAUGGGUAAAGAAGCACCGGCUAACUACGUGCCAGCAGCCGCGGUGAUACGUAGGGUGCGAGCGUUGUCCGGAUUUAUUGGGCGUAAAGGGCUCGUAGGUGGUUGAUCGCGUCGGAAGUGUAAUCUUGGGGCUUAACCCUGAGCGUGCUUUCGAUACGGGUUGACUUGAGGAAGGUAGGGGAGAAUGGAAUUCCUGGUGGAGCGGUGGAAUGCGCAGAUAUCAGGAGGAACACCAGUGGCGAAGGCGGUUCUCUGGGCCUUUCCUGACGCUGAGGAGCGAAAGCGUGGGGAGCGAACAGGCUUAGAUACCCUGGUAGUCCACGCUGUAAACGGUGGGUACUAGGUGUGGGGUCCAUUCCACGGGUUCUGUGCCGUAGCUAACGCUUUAAGUACCCCGCCUGGGGAGUACGGCCGCAGGGCUAAAACUCAAAGGAAUUGACGGGGCCCCGCACAAGCGGCGGAGCAUGCGGAUUAAUUCGAUGCAACGCGUAGAACCUUACCUGGGUUUGACAUGGAUCGGGAGCGCUCAGAGAUGGGUGUGCCUCUUUUGGGGUCGGUUCACAGGUGGUGCAUGGCUGUCGUCAGCUCGUGUCGUGAGAUGUUGGGUUAAGUCCCGCAACGAGCGCAACCCUUGUUCACUGUUGCCAGCACGUUAUGGUGGGGACUCAGUGGAGACCGCCGGGGUCAACUCGGAGGAAGGUGGGGAUGACGUCAAGUCAUCAUGCCCCUUAUGUCCAGGGCUUCACGCAUGCUACAAUGGCUGGUACAGAGAGUGGCGAGCCUGUGAGGGUGAGCGAAUCUCGGAAAGCCGGUCUCAGUUCGGAUUGGGGUCUGCAACUCGACCUCAUGAAGUCGGAGUCGCUAGUAAUCGCAGAUCAGCAACGCUGCGGUGAAUACGUUCCCGGG
This 1343-nucleotide ribosomal RNA is filed under the name uncultured bacterium. Its description in RNAcentral is "16S ribosomal RNA". It matches the Rfam family "Bacterial small subunit ribosomal RNA", at positions 28 to 1378 of the family's 1533-position model. The record is from RNAcentral.